UGAGACGAACACCCGGUUUGGGACAUUAACCUCCGGUUUCCGCACCGUAUGUCAACUUCCGGUUACCUUUCAACAUGGCAUCGACUAUGUUCUCUCCUCGUCUCAUUGCUGGUUCGAAGCUUCGAGUGCAGUACGAUGCGGACGGAAAAGCCAUUGAGGUGGAAACCCGUGAGGAUGAGGAACAGAAUGUCAAACUGGAAGAAACAAUUGAAUUAUUGCGAUCGGCCGGCUAUUUCAGGGCUCGCAUCAAGGGAUUAACUCCCUUCGAUAAGGUUGUCGGUGGAAUGACCUGGUGUAUAACCACGUGUAACUUUGAUGUUGACAUCAACCUUCUGUUCACCGAAAACUCCAGCAUCGGACAAAAAAUAGCUUUAACCGAGAAAAUCGUGUCCGUGCUUCCCAAGAUGAAAUGCCCACACCGCAUUGAGCCUCAUCAAAUUCAAGGUCUGGAUUUCAUCCACAUAUUCCCUGUGGUUCAGUGGUUGGUGAAGAGGGCUCUGGAGACAAGAGAAGAGAUGGGUGACACUAUACGUGCCUAUUCCAUAUACCAGUUCAACAAAAAUAAUAAAAUGCCUCAGGAUGAAAAAUUUGAUUCCACCAAACACAAUGCAAUUGAAUGUCUAAAUAAUGCCAAGCACAGUUACAGACCACAAAGACGGUAUCGGCGUCGAGAUGCUGACAAACUGACUGAUGAAGAAACUCGUGUGAUAUCAACCCUGCUUGAGUUUGGAUGGAAUUAUGGACUCCAGAACCGAUGGAAUGAGAGCACAGAUAAAGCCCAGUCACCAGAAUUGGAAAACCAGGAAACUAUUGAUGGCGAUAAAGAAACAGAUGAGGAUCAACAAAAACAAGAUGAGGAAAAAAUCAACCUUCUUAUGCAGAGUAUGUCAGCCAUGACACCCAGCGAUGAAUUUAAAAGUUAUGCAUCAGUGAAAAGCAGGGGCAAGAUAAGUGCCAGUGUGGUCGGGUCGAUGGUCAGCAUGCAAUCUGAUGAGAUUCAGCGUGUAGCUUCUGAAUAUGCGGAUAAACAAUCUGAGUUGGGACAAAUUGAGAAAGGAGAACUGACAGGAGGGGUCCAACACCAUAAAAGACUUGUUACGGCCCUCAACAAACAGAUUCAACAACAGAAGACAGUCCAAGAAGAAAUGAAAACCAAACAUGAACAACUCCAAGAGGAAUAUAAGGAAACACAGGAAAAUCUUCAAACGAUUCUUCAACGUUCAGAUCGAAUCGAUGGGGAAAUGGACAAACUGAAUGAAAUGGAGACUUCUGAGAACCAAGGAGUCCUCGAAGAGUUGAGGAAUUUAGUUGCAAUGAAUGAAAACCUAAAGAAACAAGAACAAGAGUUCAAAUCCCAUUGCAAGGAAGAGAUGUCCAGGUUAAAACAGAACAUUCAGAAAUUGAAAGAUGAAAAUGCUGAAGAUGACUCUGAUGAUAAGCAACGAGUAUCAUUGAUCGAAAGUCAAUACGAUGCAGACAAAGAGAAGCUACAGAAGAUCAAACUGAUGCAGGCAAAAACAAACCGUGAAAUUGCCUCUCUGCAGCGGAAGAUCGAUGAUGUACCAUCUCGGGUUGAACUGAGUCAAUAUCAGAAACGCUUCUUUGAACUUUACAAUCAAGUUGCUGCCAAACACAAGGAAACUAAACAAUUCUACACACACUACAACAUCCUUGAUGAUACAAAACUCUACAGAAACAAAGAGGUCAAUCUGCUCAACUCUAUACACGAAAACUUUACUCAGGCUAUGGCAUCAACUGCUACGAAAGAACAGUUCCUGCGACAGAUGGAACAAAUUGUUGAAGGAGUGAAACAAAAUCGACUGAAGGUGGAGAAAAAGAAGCAGGAAGAGAAAAUGAAGCGUGACCAAUUUAAUGACCAAUAUCUGGAAUUAAUUGAGAGUCAAAGACUCUACUUCAAGACUGUCAAAGACUUCCAAGAGGAAUGCCGAAAGAAUGAAAUACUGCUGUCUAAAUUACGAUGAAGAGAACAAAUUCUUUGAAAACGGGUGAAGGAUCCGGAAAUCCUUGAUCCAAAAUUAUUAUUCUUAAUGGCUGCUGAUUCAAUAUUUUUUUUACAAGAACAAAAUAUAUUUAUUAUUAUUAUUAUUGUUAUUAUUAUGAAGAAGAAAGUGGAGGGUGGGCUGUCAAAAUCAUUGGCACGCCGGGCAAAAUGCUUAGCAGUAUUUUGUCUGUCCUUACAUUCUGAAUUCAAAUUCCGCUGAGGUCAACUGUACCUUUCAUCCUUUCAGGGUCGAUAAAAUAAGUACCAAUGAAAUACUGGGGUCGAUGUAAUCGAAUAGUCUCCUCCCUGCAAAACUUCAGGCCAUGGGCCUAUGUUACAAAUGAUCCCAUAUUAUGGUUGCUGUUUGUCCCCAGGUCAACCCUGAUUGAGCAAACAGACCUGUGAUU
RNA transcript from Octopus sinensis (East Asian common octopus), 2409 nucleotides. It is a transcript of the gene named coiled-coil domain-containing protein 93, with no coding region annotated. Lineage: Eukaryota; Metazoa; Mollusca; Cephalopoda; Octopoda; Octopodidae. The transcript has 25 exons. The record is from RefSeq and is a predicted model, not a curated record.